AAAAACAUCGCCUCUUGCUUCCCAUAAGAGGUCCAGCCUGCCCAGUGACAAAGUUAAACGGCCGCGGUACCCUAACCGUGCAAAGGUAGCGCAAUCACUUGUUCUUUAAAUGAGGACUAGUAUGAACGGCAUCACGAGGGUUAUGCUGUCUCCCCGACCCAUUCAGUGAAACUGAUCUCCCCGUGAAGAAGCGGGGAUAAAAAUAUAAGACGAGAAGACCCCAUGGAGCUUUAAACUCAGAAUCAACUGCUACACAAAAUAACCUAAUAUUUAUGCAACUCUGAUUUCUAGUUUUCGGUUGGGGUGACCACGGAGUAAAAAUUAACCUCCACGAUGAAAGGAAAUAAUAACCUAAACCAAGAGCUACAGCUCUAAGUAUUAAUAAAUUAACCAAACUGAUCCAAUUACUUGAUCAACGAACCAAGUUACCCUGGGGAUAACAGCGCAAUCCAUUUCAAGAGCUCAUAUCGACAAAUGGGUUUACGACCUCGAUGUUGGAUCAGGAUACCCCAGUGGCGCAGCCGCUACUAACGGUUCGUUUGUUCAACGAUUAAAAUCCUACGUGAUCUGAG
Molecule: ribosomal RNA, 572 nt
Filed under: Chaperina fusca (brown thorny frog)
Lineage: Eukaryota; Metazoa; Chordata; Amphibia; Anura; Microhylidae
Description: partial 16S ribosomal RNA
Rfam family: Bacterial large subunit ribosomal RNA
Source: RNAcentral